AACAAACGCUGGCGGCAUGCCUAACACAUGCAAGUCGAACGAGACCUUCGGGUCUUGUGGCGCACGGGUGCGUAACGCGUGGGAACCUGCCCUUAGGUUCGGAAUAACUCCCCGAAAGGGGUGCUAAUACCGGAUAAUGUCUUCGGACCAAAGAUUUAUGGCCUGUGGAUGGGCCCGCGUUGGAUUAGCUAGUUGGUAGGGUAAAAGCCUACCAAGGCGACGAUCCAUAGCUGGUCUGAGAGGAUGAUCAGCGAGACUGGGACUGAGACACGGCCCAGACGCCUACGAGAGGCAGCAGUGGGGAAUAAAGGACAAUGGGCGAGAGCCUGAUCCAGCAAGGCCGGGAGAAUGAUGAAGGGGUUAGGAUUGUAAAGCUCUUGUACCCGGGAUGAUGAUGACGGAACGGGGAGAAUAGGCUCCGGCAAACUCCGU
This 432-nucleotide ribosomal RNA is filed under the name uncultured bacterium. Its description in RNAcentral is "partial 16S ribosomal RNA". It matches the Rfam family "Bacterial small subunit ribosomal RNA", at positions 29 to 506 of the family's 1533-position model. The record is from RNAcentral.